Long non-coding RNA from Brassica oleracea var. oleracea, 661 nucleotides. RefSeq lists it as uncharacterized. Lineage: Eukaryota; Viridiplantae; Streptophyta; Magnoliopsida; Brassicales; Brassicaceae. The transcript has 3 exons. The record is from RefSeq and is a predicted model, not a curated record.
UUUCGUUUUCUUCCUCAAAUCAAUUUUUCCCUUUAAUAUUCAUCUUCUCAACUUCUUCCCUGUAAAUCCUCCGUAGCUGUUUCUCCCACAUUUACUUCCAUUAGUUAAUUUACCAAGCGUUAUGACACUUUUAGCUUUUCCGAUUUAUUAAUGAUUGAUUUAUAUAUAAAAUUGAACAAUGGCCAAAUUAGAUUCUCACUUUCUCUCACUAUUAGAUUUCUGGAUUAUGAUCUUAUUGGUUUCAAACCCCAAAAUCAAUGCGUGGAGGGAUUCAGAUUUGAUAUCCUCAUGUAAUUUUAAAUUGUGGAUCACUGGAUCAACAUGGGUUUGCAAGGGAAAAAAUCUGGGUAAUCGAUGACAAUCUACCUCCAUGAGUUCAUAAAAUCAUCAUUAGUUGAUCUUCAUCUCAAACCAUCAGAAGAGGACUUAAAGCAAUGGUUUGACAGGUAAAAGUAAAACCAUCAUCAUCCUUUUAUGUUCUUUAUCUUUAUAGAUUCUGAAUUUUAUGUGUGUGUUUCUUUUUUGAGUUCUGGGUUUCACUUGCUAUAGAUGGCCACUCAACAUUGAUUUCUUUAGAAACAUCAAUGGCAAACCCUUCAGAUUCUUAUUUGCAUAUCAUACUUACCUCGCUGUCUCAGAUAUAAGGGUUAGAAACAUUUGU